GGAUGCUCGGCUUAUUAAAAGCCUCUAGAACAGCCCUUUUAAUAUCUCUAGCAGAAGACGACUGUGCUCGAGGAAGUAUCGAAGCAGAAUCAGGGAAGUUAAGAGCAGCAAACUCACCUCUAAAAGCCAAAGCAGCAACAUCAUGAGCCCUAGCUGCCAUUUCAGGAGUUAGGAAGGUACCAAGCCAUAUUCUUGAUGAUUUCAUGUUUGGUUCUCGCACUUCACAUACCCAUUUAUUCCCAUUUCUCCUGCGAACACCUCUAUAAACUGGGUGCCUGGUCUCCUUAAACUUAGUCCUCCCUGCUUUCUUCUUCUUCAAAACCAAUACUGGCUUCUGAGUUGAAGAUGGUGAAGAUGAUGAAGCACUCUCAGAGUCC
This 377-nucleotide unclassified non-coding RNA is filed under the name Hevea brasiliensis (rubber tree). Lineage: Eukaryota; Viridiplantae; Streptophyta; Magnoliopsida; Malpighiales; Euphorbiaceae. The record is from RNAcentral.